AAUGGGGGCAACCCUGAUCCAGCCAUGCCGCGUGUGUGAAGAAGGCCUUCGGGUUGUAAAGCACUUUAAGUUGGGAGGAAAGGGUGCUGGCUAAUAUCCAGUAUCUAUGACGUUACCAACAGAAUAAGCACCGGCUAACUCCGUGCCAGCAGCCGCGGUAAUACGGAGGGUGCAAGCGUUAAUCGGAAUUACUGGGCGUAAAGCGCGCGUAGGCGGCUAGUUAAGCUAGAUGUGAAAUCCCUGGGCUCAACCUGGGAACUGCAUUUAGAACUGACUGGCUAGAGUGCAGAAGAGGAGUGUGGAAUUUCCGGUGUAGCGGUGAAAUGCGUAGAGAUCGGAAGGAACAUCAGUGGCGAAGGCGACACUCUGGUCUGACACUGACGCUGAGGUGCGAAAGCGUGGGUAGCAAA
Molecule: ribosomal RNA, 410 nt
Filed under: uncultured bacterium
Lineage: Bacteria
Description: bacterial SSU rRNA
Rfam family: Bacterial small subunit ribosomal RNA
Source: RNAcentral